This 252-nucleotide ribosomal RNA is filed under the name uncultured bacterium. Its description in RNAcentral is "partial 16S ribosomal RNA". It matches the Rfam family "Bacterial small subunit ribosomal RNA", at positions 524 to 776 of the family's 1533-position model. The record is from RNAcentral.
UACGUAGGGUCCGAGCGUUGUCCGGAAUCAUUGGGCGUAAAGGGAACGUAGGCGGUCUAGUAAGUUAGAAGUGAAAGGCAGUAGCUCAACUUAUGGAAGCUUUUAAAACUGCUUGACUUGAGAGUUUGAGGGGAAAGUGGAAUUCCUAGUGUAGCGGUGAAAUGUGUAGAUAUUAGGAGGAAUACCAGUGGCGAAGGCGACUUUCUGGCACUCAUCAGACGCUGAGGUUCGAAAGCGUGGGGAGCAAACAGG